GAUGAACGCUGGCGGCGUGCCUAAUACAUGCAAGUCGAGCGAACGGACGAGAAGCUUGCUUCUCUAAUGUUAGCGGCGGACGGGUGAGUAACACGUGGAUAACCUACCUAUAAGACUGGGAUAACUUCGGGAAACCGUAGCUAAUACCGGAGAAUAUUUUGAACCGCAUGGUUCAAAAGUGAAAGACGGUCUUGCUGUCACUUAUAGAUGGAUCCCGGCUGCAUUAGAUAGUUGGUAAGGUAACGGCUUACCAAGGCAACGAUGCAUAGCCGACCGGAGAGAGGGAUAGGCGGCCUGAGAACGGGGACGGGGACAAGAGUCCUGAGGGAGGCAGCAGUAUGGAAUCUUCCGCAAUGGGCGAAAGCAUGACGGAGCGGCGCCGAGUGAGUGAUGAAGGUCUUCGGAUCGUAAAACUCGGUUAUGAGGGAAGAACAGAUGUGGAAGGAAAUGAGGACAGAGUGACGGUAACGAAUAAAAAAGCAACGGCUAACUACGUG
This 497-nucleotide ribosomal RNA is filed under the name uncultured bacterium. Its description in RNAcentral is "partial 16S ribosomal RNA". It matches the Rfam family "Bacterial small subunit ribosomal RNA", at positions 28 to 507 of the family's 1533-position model. The record is from RNAcentral.